CCUACGGGAGGCUGCAGUGAGGAAUAUUGGUCAAUGGACGAGAGUCUGAACCAGCCAAGUAGCGUGAAGGAUGACUGCCCUAUGGGUUGUAAACUUCUUUUAUAAAGGAAUAAAACGAGGCACGUGUGCCUUUUUGCAUGUACUUUAUGAAUAAGGAUCGGCUAACUCCGUGCCAGCAGCCGCGGUAAUACGGAGGAUCCGAGCGUUAUCCGGAUUUAUUGGGUUUAAAGGGAGCGUAGAUGGGUUGUUAAGUCAGUUGUGAAAGUUUGCGGCUCAACCGUAAAAUUGCAAUUGAUACUGGCAGUCUUGAGUACAGUUGAGGUAGGCGGAAUGCGUGGUGUAGCGGUGAAAUGCUUAGAUAUCACGAAGAACCCCGAUUGCGAAGGCAGCUUACUAAACUGUGACUGACAUUGAUGCUCGAAAGUGUGGGGAUCAAACAGGAUUAGAUACCCUUGUAGUC
RNAcentral lists this ribosomal RNA (460 nucleotides) under uncultured bacterium. RNAcentral describes it as "partial 16S ribosomal RNA". It matches the Rfam family "Bacterial small subunit ribosomal RNA", at positions 338 to 795 of the family's 1533-position model. The record is from RNAcentral.